This is a long non-coding RNA of Cornus florida, 2236 nucleotides long. RefSeq lists it as uncharacterized. The record is from RefSeq and is a predicted model, not a curated record. The transcript is spliced from 3 exons. NCBI's taxonomy places the organism in Eukaryota, Viridiplantae, Streptophyta, Magnoliopsida, Cornales, Cornaceae.
ACACGUACAAUUUUAGGGCAAAUCAUUUCAGCCUCCCCCAAUCGCCUCAAUCUCUGUUCUCGUUCUCAACUCUGGACUUGCCCUCUCUCUUUCUCUGCCACUGCAAACUACAAAAUCUACAAGAAUCAGAAGUUCAAAACCCAUAUAAUUCAGUUUAUCUAUCUGUCUGCAAGAAUCAAAAUUUCAAAACCUAUUACCUAUAUAAAAACCCAUAUCGGCAUAUCAUUUCAGAUUGUUCAAAAAAUCAAAACCCAUAUCCUUCAGUUUCCAUCGCCGGCCGCUGUUCUAGUUCGGGUUCGCCUUUCGCAAGCUUCAGCCGCUGGCCCGCUGUCUGUCAACUCUCAAGCCCCUCUCUCUGCAACUGCUUACUGGAGGAAAUUCAUGAGUUGCUUCUGAGUUUUGCUGAAGCUGGAGCCAUAGUUGUGAGACUUAAAGGAGGUGAUCCACUGGUGAGUUUUCAUGUGAAAACUGUUAGAACAAAAACUUCUUAGCAAGAAACUUAAACAAGCAGGAUUAAAAAAAUAUAUAUAGAAACUUCAACAAGCUGUACCUUAGAAAUGUCAACUUUGUUUUUUUAUAAUAAAAAUUAGUUUUUUUGUCCUGAAUUUCUGUGGGUGUAUCGGGUGUUUGGGAGGUGGGGAGGAGAUGGAUUUCUUGCAACAACAGGGGAUUGAAGUGCAAGUCAUUCCAGGUAUCACUGCCACUUCAGGAAUAACAGCUGAACUGGGGAUCCCUUUAACCCACCGUGGUGUUGCAAAUAGUGUUGGAUUUCUCACGGGCCACUCAAGAAAUGGAGGAACAGACCCCCUGUUUGUUGCAGAAAAUGUAGCGGACCCUGAUUCAACUUUGGUUGUUUAUAUGGGUUUGUCAACUCUCCCUUCCCUUGCACAAAAGUUGAUACACCACGGUUUGCCACCCAAUACACCAGCUGCUGCAGUUGAGCAAGGGACCACGCCUGAACAACACAUUGUAAGCAAACAUAAUCCUCAACCUAUGUUAAUUUUUCUGUGUUUAAUGCUAAAUUUUUAUAUUUUUUUCACCAAGUGUCGCAGAUUUCAACUUUUUUGUCUUUCAUUUUAAUUUCAUAGCUGAGUGCAUAGUCAAUGUAUCUGGUGCAAGUCUAACUCUUAAAAACACAAGUCUAUGGGAUUAUGGUCUCCAUGGUUGAGAAAAAACUGAGAAAGCCUAGUUUGAGUUAAAGGGAGUGAUAAUGGUACAAUUUGAGGAAAAUAAAUAGCUGCAUUCAUAAGCUUGCUAUAAUAUGCUGCCAAUAAACAUUGGUCAAUUUCUAGCAAACUAUGAGAGGACCAAAAAGCUUAUGAUCACCAAUUACCAAGACAGUGAGUAACAAGUGAUGAUUUAAAAAAAAAAAAUACACACUAGCAUAUGAUAUAUCAGUUUAACAUCCAAAGUCAUAGAAAGGGAAGGGUGUGACAGAUUAUCCAAAAACAAAACCAACCUUUGAUUUUGUUAACCAACCACUUGCUUCCUCCUUCAAUACUAUUUGACAAGGACUAUUCAUUGAAAGAAAAAGGUCAGUAGUAAAAUGUUGCAUAACGCAUGCAAAACAAAGCAGUGCAGGCAUAGCAAAAUAUCAAUGAGCUGCCACAUGUUCACAUGCAUUGACACAUUAAAUAUGAGAACCGAAUAAAUAAGGGGUUCAUGAGAACUGCCGAGGACGUGAAACGAUUCCAUAGUUUUUUAUUACAUGUGACUUCAACUUCAAUUAAAUUGAUACAAUUUUCAAGAAUACUUCAAGUGAUGCAACUAUUCUUAUCAAUAAUUCUUAUCAAAAUUGAGUUUUUGGGUGAGUUGUGGCCACAUUAUGAUUUGGAUUUGUGGUUUCUUUAGGUGCGGACAUAUUUCACUAAGUUGUGUUCUUAUAAAAUUAAAAUCGUGUGCACACAUACAUAAUUUUAGCAACUUUACAACUUGCUUUACGUUCUCUUACUUCAACUAUUACAUUUUGUAAGUCAAAGCUAGGAUUGAGGGAUUGUGGUUCCCAAUACUUUUUUUGUUACCAUUAUAUUUUUUGUAUGGCUCAAUAGAAGUUGCAUAUAUUGAAGAGAGAGACUAAAACAGAGUAAGAUGAUAUGAAGAAUUUUUGUUUUAUUUUGGUUAAGUAAAGGUAUAAGGUAUGGAUCAUGUAUUACUUUGAAAUUUGUAUAUAUUUUUGUAUAAAAACAUGAUUUGGAAUUUGUUAUAUAAAUAUGAUGUUAUUGGCAGUUGUAAGUUA